UAUAAGAAGAGUAUCGAAUAUAUAUUAAACGGCAACAACGGUCUAGUCAGUGUCAUAAUUGCAUAACUACCAUAGUCCAUAUAAAUCCGAUUAAAAUUUUGAAACCGAUCCAAAAAUGGUAGAUCUCCGUUUACUUAUUACUUUUAACCAUCAUAAUAUAUCCCAAAAUCGGUAACUAGGCUCGGACCAAUGAAACCAUGUCCAGCACCUUAAGUAACAAAAACCAUACUGGUUUUGACCAUUCAACCAGUCCGAUCAUAAACCACCUUAUGAAACGAUCUGAUUAAACGGUCGAACCACAACCCAUGAAACAUAAACUUUGGGCACCAUUCUACAUGCCCUGCAUCAACUCCUUCAUGGCAAGCUUGAGAGCCGCUAGCUCCUUAUCCUUCAUCUCCAAAGCCUUAUCCUUUUCCUCCAGAAGCUUCUUCAAGCAACCCUCUGCACUCCCCGCCAACGUCGCAGUAUCUGCGGACGCCGGCACCAAAACGGCGCCGCUGCUCAUAUCCCACCUGUUCCAAAUUACCUGACUACUAGUAUUAACACCGUACCUUGACCAACCGAAGUAGUCGUUGACCCUCAGCCGCAUGAUGGAACUUGGAUCAUUGACGAAAAGGAAACAGAGUCCCUGACGGUUGGCUAUGAGGUGGAAGGUCUGACCGCCGCCCUCAGCCGUCAGGGUCAAAUCAUUGGCCAGCUGGGUCAACCGGUUGGGCUGGAUCCUUCCAGAACCUCCAGCUGCGUAAACUUUUGAUUAUGAUAUUUUCAACCAUCUUAAAUAUGCCACUACAUAUAAUAUAUUAACAUAACACAUACUAAAUAAAAUUGUAGGUGCGAUAUAUUAACAUUGAACAAUCUAAACCUUUUGAUUUGAUCGAGUCAAAAUAAAUUAAAUAUCGCUCUUUCAUUUCUUUUGACCAUAAAGAUAGAUCCCAAAUUCAAUAACUAUACUCGGACAAAGGAAACUAAGUCCAAGUACACCUUAAUUAACCAAAAACCAUAUCGAUACUACAAACCCAUGCAUUAGACGAAACUUGGAGACCAUCGAUCCUAGCUACUACAUGUCGUGCACCAAGGCCUUCAUGGCAAGCUUGAGAGCAGCUAGCUCCUUAUCCUUCAUCUCCAAAACCUUAUCCUUCUCCUCCAGAAGCUUCUUCAGGCAACCCUCUUCACUCCCCGACCCCGCCGCAGCCGCCGGAACCAAAACGGCGCCGCUGCUCAUAUCCCACCUGUUCCAAAUUACCUGACUGCUAGUAUUAACACCGUACCUUGACCAGCCGAAGUAGUCGUUGACCCUCAGCCGCAUAACGGAACUCGGACUGUUGACGUACAGGAAACAGAGUCCCUGACGGUUGACUAUGAGGUGGAAGGUCUGACCGCCGCCCUCGGCCGUCAGGGUCAGAUCGUUGGCCAGCUGGGUCAGCUGGUUGGACCGGAUCGUCACGCCCAGAACCUCCAGCUCCUUAAACGGCGUCGAAUGAUGAUGACUCACUUUGGCGAGGAAAGUCCAGCGGGAGU
RNAcentral lists this long non-coding RNA (1518 nucleotides) under Linum usitatissimum (flax). Its description in RNAcentral is "long non-coding RNA (LUSI_LNC006403)". The record is from RNAcentral. Lineage: Eukaryota; Viridiplantae; Streptophyta; Magnoliopsida; Malpighiales; Linaceae.